Molecule: ribosomal RNA, 505 nt
Filed under: uncultured bacterium
Lineage: Bacteria
Description: bacterial SSU rRNA
Rfam family: Bacterial small subunit ribosomal RNA
Source: RNAcentral
CAGGAUGAACGCUAGCUACAGGCUUAACACAUGCAAGUCGAGGGGCAGCAUGUGGUUGCUGCAACCAAUGAUGGCGACCGGCGCACGGGUGAGUAACGCGUAUCCAACUUCCCCUUAGUAGAGGAUAGCCCGGCGAAAGUCGGAUUAAUACUCUAUGUUCUUCAAUGCGGACAUCUAAGUUGAAGCAAAGAUUUAUCGCUAAGGGAUGGGGAUGCGUCUGAUUAGGUUGCAGGCGGGGUAACGGCCCACCUGGCCUACGAUCAGUAGGGGUUCGUGAGAGGAAGGUCCCCACCACCGGUACUGAGACACGGACCAGACUCCUACGGGAGGCAGCAGUGAGGAAUAUUGGUCAAUGGGCGCGAGCCUGAACCAGCCAAGUAGCGUGCAGGAACCGACUCGCCCUAUGGGUUGUAAACUGCUUUUAUCAGGGAAUAAAGUGAGGCACGCGUGCCUUUUUGUAUGUACCUGAUGAAUAAGGACCGGCUAAUUCCGUGCCAGCCGCUGC